Molecule: ribosomal RNA, 468 nt
Filed under: uncultured bacterium
Lineage: Bacteria
Description: partial 16S ribosomal RNA
Rfam family: Bacterial small subunit ribosomal RNA
Source: RNAcentral
GACGAACGCUGGCGGCGUGCUUAACACAUGCAAGUCGAACGGUAAGGCCCUGCUUUUGUGGGGUGCUCGAGUGGCGAACGGGUGAGUAACACGUGAGUAACCUGCCCUUGACUUUGGGAUAACUUCCGGAAACUGGGGCUAAUACCGGAUAGGAGCUCCUGCUGCCUGGUGGGGGUGGGAAAGUUUCGGUGGUUGGGGAUGGUCUCGCGGCUUAUCAGCUUGUUGGUGGGGUAGUGGCUUACCAAGGCUUUGACGGGUAGCCGGCCUGAGAGGGUGACCGGCCACAUUGGGACUGAGAUACGGCCCAGAGUCCUACGGGAGGCAGCAGUGGGGAAUAUUGCACAAUGGGCGGAAGCCGGAUGCAGCAACGCGGCGUGCGGGAUGACGGCCUUCGGGUUGUAAACCGCUUUCGCCGGUGACGAAGCGUGAGUGACGGUAAUGGGUAAAGAAGCACCGGCUAACUACGUG